Molecule: ribosomal RNA, 637 nt
Filed under: Lysobacteraceae bacterium D221a
Lineage: Bacteria; Pseudomonadati; Pseudomonadota; Gammaproteobacteria; Lysobacterales; Lysobacteraceae
Description: bacterial SSU rRNA
Rfam family: Bacterial small subunit ribosomal RNA
Source: RNAcentral
AACGCUGGCGGCAUGCCUAACACAUGCAAGUCGAACGGCAGCACAGCAGUAGCAAUACUGUGGGUGGCGAGUGGCGGACGGGUGAGGAAUACAUCGGAAUUUGCCCUGUCGUGGGGGAUAACGUAGGGAAACUUACGCUAAUACCGCAUACGACCUAACGGUGAAAGCGGGGGAUCGCAAGACCUCGCGCGGCUGGAGAAGCCGAUGUCAGAUUAGCUAGUUGGCGGGGUAAUGGCCCACCAAGGCGACGAUCUGUAGCUGGUCUGAGAGGAUGAUCAGCCACACUGGGACUGAGACACGGCCCAGACUCCUACGGGAGGCAGCAGUGGGGAAUAUUGGACAAUGGGCGCAAGCCUGAUCCAGCAAUGCCGCGUGUGUGAAGAAGGCCUUCGGGUUGUAAAGCACUUUUAUCUGGAGCGAAAUCUGCAGGGCUAAUACCCAUGCAGUCUGACGGUACCAGAGGAAUAAGCACCGGCUAACUUCGUGCCAGCAGCCGCGGUAAUACGAAGGGUGCAAGCGUUACUCGGAAUUACUGGGCGUAAAGCGUGAGUAGGUGGUUUCUUAAGUCUGCUGUGAAAGCCCCGGGCUCAACCUGGGAAUUGCAGUGGAUACUGGGGAGCUAGAGUGCGGUAGAGGG